UACGGAGGGUGCAUGCAUUAAUCGGAUUUAUUGGGCGUAAAGAGCGUGUAGGCGGCGAAGAAAGUCAGAUGUGAAAUCCCGGGGCUUACCCCCGGAACUGCAUUUGAAACUUCUUCACUAGAGGGUAGGCGGAGAAAACGGAAUUCCACAAGUAGCGGUGAAAUGCGUAGAUAUGUGGAAGAACACCGGUGGCGAAGGCGGUUUUCUAGCUUAUUCCUGACGCUGAGACGCGAAAGCAAGGGGAGCAAACAGG
RNAcentral lists this ribosomal RNA (253 nucleotides) under uncultured bacterium. RNAcentral's name for it is "partial 16S ribosomal RNA". It matches the Rfam family "Bacterial small subunit ribosomal RNA", at positions 524 to 776 of the family's 1533-position model. The record is from RNAcentral.